RNAcentral lists this ribosomal RNA (264 nucleotides) under uncultured bacterium. Its description in RNAcentral is "partial 16S ribosomal RNA". It matches the Rfam family "Bacterial small subunit ribosomal RNA", at positions 793 to 1055 of the family's 1533-position model. The record is from RNAcentral.
GUCCACGCCGUAAACGAUGGGCACUAGGUGUGGGAGGUGUCGACUCCUUCCGUGCCGAAGCUAACGCAUUAAGUGCCCCGCCUGGGGAGUACGGCCGCAAGGCUAAAACUCAAAGGAAUUGACGGGGGCCCGCACAAGCAGCGGAGCAUGUGGUUUAAUUCGACGAAACGCGAAGAACCUUACCUGGGCUUGACAUGUCUCUGACCGGUGUGGAAACACAUCUUCCCUUUUAGGGCAGAGUCACAGGUGGUGCAUGGCUGUCGU